Molecule: transfer RNA, 87 nt
Filed under: Prochlorothrix hollandica PCC 9006 = CALU 1027
Lineage: Bacteria; Bacillati; Cyanobacteriota; Cyanophyceae; Prochlorotrichales; Prochlorotrichaceae
Description: Prochlorothrix hollandica PCC 9006 tRNA
Rfam family: tRNA
About the family: Transfer RNA (tRNA) molecules are approximately 80 nucleotides in length. Their secondary structure includes four short double-helical elements and three loops (D, anti-codon, and T loops). Further hydrogen bonds mediate the characteristic L-shaped molecular structure. tRNAs have two regions of fundamental functional importance: the anti-codon, which is responsible for specific mRNA codon recognition, and the 3' end, to which the tRNAs corresponding amino acid is attached (by aminoacyl-tRNA synthetases). tRNAs cope with the degeneracy of the genetic code in two manners: having more than one tRNA (with a specific anti-codon) for a particular amino acid; and 'wobble' base-pairing, i.e. permitting non-standard base-pairing at the 3rd anti-codon position.
Source: Rfam by way of RNAcentral
GGAGAGGUGGCCGAGUGGUUGAAGGCGCAGCACUGGAAAUGCUGUGACAGGGUAACUUGUUCGAGGGUUCGAAUCCCUCCCUCUCCG